GCCUGGAUGGCUCAGUCGGUUAAGCAUCCGACUUCGGCUCGGGUCAUGAUCUUGCCAUUUGUGAGUUCAAGCCCCGCAUCAGGCU
Molecule: transfer RNA, 85 nt
Filed under: Felis catus (domestic cat)
Lineage: Eukaryota; Metazoa; Chordata; Mammalia; Carnivora; Felidae
Rfam family: tRNA
About the family: Transfer RNA (tRNA) molecules are approximately 80 nucleotides in length. Their secondary structure includes four short double-helical elements and three loops (D, anti-codon, and T loops).
Source: Rfam by way of RNAcentral